UGCCAGCAGCCGCGGUAAAACCAGCACCUCAAGUGGUCAGGAUGAUUAUUUGGCCUAAAGCAUCCGUAGCCGGCUCUGUAAGUUUUCGGUUAAAUCUGUACGCUUAACGUACAGGCUGCCGGGAAUACUGCAGAGCUAGGGAGUGGGAGAGGUAGACGGUACUCGGUAGGAAGGGGUAAAAUCCUUUGAUCUAUUGAUGACCACCUGUGGCGAAGGCGGUCUACCAGAACACGCCCGACGGUGAGGGAUGAAAGCUGGGGGAGCAAACCGGAUUAGAUA
RNAcentral lists this ribosomal RNA (279 nucleotides) under uncultured bacterium. RNAcentral describes it as "partial 16S ribosomal RNA". It matches the Rfam family "Archaeal small subunit ribosomal RNA", at positions 456 to 735 of the family's 1478-position model. The record is from RNAcentral.